This is a long non-coding RNA of Anneissia japonica, 1747 nucleotides long. RefSeq lists it as uncharacterized. Lineage: Eukaryota; Metazoa; Echinodermata; Crinoidea; Comatulida; Comatulidae. The record is from RefSeq and is a predicted model, not a curated record. The transcript has 2 exons.
GUAUUGACAGUAUUCUCAUACUGCAGUAAGUACUAAAUUACUGCAAGAUUCUCACUCAUGAGUAAAUGUCAACAAGAAAUAAAAAUACCACAGCCAAUUGAUGAUGAAAGGAACCCUAACAUUAGCUUUUGAGACAGCUGAGUUAGUUGCUCAACUACUGUACAAUAUUAUUUAAGAAUAAUUGCAUUUAGUAUGUUGUCCAAUCAUAUAAAACGAUUUGUUGUAAGAUUUAUUUGUCCAAUUUAUGCUUUUUAUAAAACAACUCUUAAAAUGUAUAAACACCAUACAGUAGGACAGUAGAAUACCACCCCACCGCCCCCCCCCCCUUCCACAUUCAGGAUAAAAAAGUUCCUCCUUAAUAGACUGUCUGGAUACACCUAUUUAAGGGGGCAUGGUAGAAGUGUCCUCGUCGCUGCCCUCUGUAACGCUAAAUCAACAGUGACCACACACAAUAUCAAGUCAACAUCAACUUGUAUCACCGUUUCCAUCAUGCCAUCUGAUGGACCUGUCAGAGUACAAUGAUUGUACUAGAAACUGUGUCCUGCUCUGGCUGAAACAAGUAUUGUAUCUAGCAAGUGUGUGGACAUAAGAACCUGAAUUGUGAAAUUGUCCCUUAAUAUAACGUAUACAUAUAACGAUAACAUAUAUAUUUUCAUAAUUUUAGUUUAGUUUAGCUAAGAACCAUUUGAAAUCGAAUCAAAAUAAUUUGUAACUAAUGUUUAUAAAUGUAAUUAAAGAGUAGAACUAUAUAUAUUGCUUCAUGAUUCUAGUUUAUAAUCACAUUUUUUUUUUACAAUAUUGUGCUUUCUAUUGGACAAGAAUUUUGUAUUUUUAUGUUCAUAAUUGAAAUGGUGGAAAUAAAUGAUAUAUAUGAUACAUUAGGAGUGAAAGUCAGUCCAUUGUUUAAGAGCUAAAAUUGACAAGAUUGGUUAACACAAAGUGCAGUGGCGGAUUCAAGGGGGUGCCCAGCUAGGUCGGUGCCCAGCUAGGUCGGCCCCCCCUAAAUUUUUAAAAAUGGAGGUAUAGAGGAAAUAUAUUUUUAAAUUUUAAGUCUGAGAAUGCAAUCUCCGGCCAUUUAGAGGUGCCAUAAUCACCAGUUUUCUUACCUCAGCCCCAACCAUGGUUGGGGCUGAGGUGGUAUAGAUCCUCCAUCUGUGAAAGUACCUCCCUGGGCCCCCUCUAUGUUGAAUUCCUGGAUCCGCCAUUGUAGUGGAGUAACAAUGUGGACAGAAUUCCAUCAAUCCGUAUUGGAUAUAAAAAGGACAACUCAAGUGAUUGAAGACUUCGUAGUAGACCGAUCGAUAGAUCGGUCUACUAUGAAGUAGAUCGAUAUCCAUUUCUAAGAUCAACAAUUGAAGUUUAUAGCUAAAAAGUUGUCAAAAUAAAAAUUUGAUUAUUGUAUUUGUUGUAAGAUAAAAUAGCUUUCACUUGGCAUUCUUAGGAAGUUUGACUAUCCAUAAUAGGGUUGGUUGUAGUGUUAAAAUACAUAUUCCUCUCUUUUCGCAGAAGUCGCCCCUCAAUAUGGGUGUCUUAAAGGAAAGGUGGUCGGUUACUGUAUGAUAAAAUGACACUAAAAUAAAAUUAAAAAGCUAAUAUGUAAAGUGCAUGCGGGAGUUGGAUAUAGACACAACUUUAUAUUCUAAACAUUUGAGGAGCAUGUGCAUAAUAUGUAAUUGGAACAGCAUGUACAACUAUGAGCUGAAUAAUUAUUAAAAUUGAAAAUGAUUUAAUUUUCACUGGUUUUAUU